Gymnodraco acuticeps is the source of this 802-nucleotide long non-coding RNA. RefSeq lists it as uncharacterized. The record is from RefSeq and is a predicted model, not a curated record. Lineage: Eukaryota; Metazoa; Chordata; Actinopteri; Perciformes; Bathydraconidae. The transcript is spliced from 4 exons.
CAGGCGGAACCCACCAAGGCGUAUGGUGCCAGGUUGGGAAUUGGGAGACAUGGAGCUAGCAUGCCUGGGGCUAGCAGGCCGGGAAUCAGGUUUGACCUCAAAGCUGCCAAAAAAGUCCUCCACCCACUCGGGUAGCAACUCCCUCAACCAGGGCCUUGAGGUUACCUCCUGGCGUGCCGCAGAAAAAACGGACUGCCUCUCUUCACUACUGGAGGCAUAUUUAAAGUCAUUCCUCAAACAUGUCAAAUUGUACACUAUAAAAAAGGAUUUUGGAGGGUAGUAUAUAUUAUCCAAGCAAAUCAUUUAAAUUGUACUCAAGGUAUAUAAGUGAGCAUUGUUAGUAUAUUUGAAUGGGUAAAUUAUACCUACACUACCUAAUUUCUGACAGUACCAACUGAAACACAAACAAUCUGGGUAAAAUCUACUUGAAGACAUUAGGCCCACACUGCCCCUUUGCGCAUGCGUCUGCGGUGAUUCUUGGCUGCAGGCCAGAGGAACGGUUCUCUUUCGCGCCUCCCUCCUCCUGGUGUGUGGAAAUGUUGGAAGACAAUUCGUAGUGGAGUGGAGGUGGUGACCCUCAGCCCACGUGUCAGUGUCUUCAAGGAGAGAUGGCCUGGUUUAUUCAAUGAGGCUAAGGAGGAGUUCCGACACAUAACAACUCUUUCACUGGAAGAGACUUUGAUGCUGAAACUGGAUGGGUACACUAACACCACUCGCUCCAGCUGAUGCGUGCCAAAGGAGGAGAUGCUGGCUCCAGGAUGCGCCCUCUUCUGAGCACAAUUGAUGAGGCCCAGAGUGUUGG